CAUAAAUUCCUGGUGAUUUUUAAUUUAUAACAUUGCAUAAACAUCAUUAGAAUAACCAUAAUAUAGAAAAUGCACUGAAUAAAAGAAACUGACGUGAAGAACUUUAAUUUUGGCCCAGUAACCCGCCGCUAUCCUUUAUUUAAUCGGCCCAUCAUGAAAAACUUAAAGGGAAAAUAUCCUGAUGGGUCAAGACAACAUGGGCCUCAAUCCGAGGAAAAGAAUCGGCCCGUUAGUCACCCGAAGGCCCAGCAGCUGUCGUUGGCUGAUCUCAGCCGUUCGAUUCAACCGACGAUCGGGAUCGUCCGUAGCUUGAACAAAACAGCCGCCCGUCAAAACCCUAGCUCCAUUUGCCCCCUUUCCUCCCCCGAAAUGAAUGGAGUGGCCACGCAGAGGCGACCCCGGUGGCGGGCCAAGCUCGCCGGCCAUGGCGGCGCGGUAGCUGCCCUCGCCGGUGAAGCGUGCAAUGGACUGAGUUCCGCGCGCUCUUUCGGCAAGCGUGGCUCCAGCGUCGCGCACAUGGCGAGCAGGGCGGUUGACUGGAUGAGCAUUUCGCCGGCAGAGCUGCCAGCGCAAAACAUGAAGGCGAUGGCGACGUACGAGGCGCGGCCCUCGCAAGGCGCCCGUCCACCAGUUCGUCGACGGCAACGUGCGAGGCACGACCCUCGCAAGGCGCGCGUCCAUUAGUGUGUCGACGACGGCUCCUUCCCGUGCGUCGUCCCGAGGGACGGUGGCUUUGCCGCCGUCGGGAUCCCGAAGGAGAGCACGGUCGCGUCCUCAUUAAGCUGCCAUGAGUCUCCAGAGAUGUGGAGUCCUUCCGAUGAGAAAAGCAGCAGCAAGGUAUAUGGCAGCAGGGAUGCAGCAGCGCCGCAGUCGAAGAGGAAGCCCAUGGAUGCCGGCAGCACUCCUUUCCUGGUGGCCGCCGGUAGAUGUCGGUCUUCCAGCCCCUAGCACAACUUUAGGAUCGGGCAGUUUGGUCGAUAGCCACGGUUUCUGUUAGCCUCUCUUAUGUGCUAUCCUUUUCUUUCUUUCUUUUAUAUCAAGUGUUGGGGCCGGGGACUGGGUCCAAAGUUGUUGGUUUAGAGGCCUCCGAUCAAGGCUCCUACGUGAAAGGUGUGGGGUGAAAAACCUCCUGGUUUCUCUCGGGUUGUUACCUGAGAUCAAAUUCCAACAACAAUAUCAACAUCAAAUUGAGACA
Long non-coding RNA from Triticum urartu, 1195 nucleotides. RefSeq lists it as uncharacterized. The record is from RefSeq and is a predicted model, not a curated record. NCBI's taxonomy places the organism in Eukaryota, Viridiplantae, Streptophyta, Magnoliopsida, Poales, Poaceae.